UGAAAUUCCAGAUGAAUGUCAGUCAAUGGCUUGACUCAUAAGAAAAAUGUAACUGUGAAUUUGUAGUAAGCAUGCUACAUGAAUUCAGAUAAUUGAUGGAAAUUGAGGAACUGACAAAGCAACAGAGGGAAGUCUGAUAACAUUAGUAAAUUUCAGUAGUCUUGAAUCUUACUCUUCCAUAAACUUAAGUGAUCUCUUGAAAAAGACUUUUGUGUUGGCUUUCUAGGGAAAAAAAAUCUGCAGAAAAAAGUCCAGAAGUAGAAAGCAAGCCUUCUACCUAUGGUUCUU
This is a long non-coding RNA of Vidua macroura (Pin-tailed whydah), 288 nucleotides long. RefSeq lists it as uncharacterized. Lineage: Eukaryota; Metazoa; Chordata; Aves; Passeriformes; Viduidae. The record is from RefSeq and is a predicted model, not a curated record. The transcript is spliced from 3 exons.